UCAAAAAAAAAAAAAAGCAAAGGACCCAGAACACAGUCAUAAACCAACACAGUUACGCACACAUUAUGAUUUUCCCACCCACGGACUUGAGGAGCGGGGUGCUGUUCAGCCCCCAAUUUGCAUAUUCUCCCCACCGCCAUGAGAGCUGGCAUUGUGUUGGUUACAGACCGGCUCACUCUGCCUGGCAUCCAGCUACGCCCGAGUUCUAUUUCCCGAGUCUUGGUAUUUUAUGAGACCAUGCCAGGGAAGAGCGAGAGGUAGAGUCCAGGUGAGGAGCAGGCAGAUUAGGCCUUAGAGAAGGGUGUUGGGGUGUCGGGGGAGGCAGGGGCAGCCCGAAAGAGUGCAGGCAGCACCUUCCUGAAAAUUCCACUGCCCUGGACUGCCACCCACUGCCAUGGCUUAGCACAGGGAAAGGGCUCAGAGGGCCGACAGAGCCUGCGUCCCUGGCUGUAUGGCCUCAGGAGUGAAGAAGAAAAGAGGUGGUCUCAGUCCCCUGAGGGGCCAGGACGUCAGAUGCAGACCAUGAAGGUCACGAGGAUUCAGGGAAGAGGAACCCCAGGUCAGCAGGCGCCUUGGAGCUAGGCAGACCCAGGCUCCAAUCCUGGUUCCCAGGCACCUAGAAGCUGUGCAGCCUUGGGCAAGUCACCACACCUCUCUGAGCCUCAGCUCCAAUGUCCAGAGUCGAGCAGGAGACACCAAGCCCAAGAGGCAGGAUGAUACAAGGAGCUUUUCGGAAUUCGCUCUUUUCAGAACUCUUGGUAUAGAUCAGCCCAGUCAGAGGAGCUGGUGAAAUUUAUAGGAACUGUAAGAAUCAUUGCAGCAGUGACUACCCUCCGCUUCUGGAAAAUAAAGCCCUUGCAGUAAACACUGUUCAUUCUCUGAAGGGUAGACCAGAGCACUUACGGGAGCGAGAUGCAAAUAAGACUCAAGGUCAGGGCAGGAGAAUCCUGGGUGAGAAACCUCAGCUGAGCCCUUCUAACAUCCCAAGCCUUUGCAAGGCUCUGAAGGGCAAAAAUUCCAGGUGAGCUGGAAGCUCCCAGGCUGACGUCCCUCGUGGUGCCAGUUGGAUAAAGUUCAAGCUCCUUGGCUCUGCACCAGGCCCAUCACAAGAUGCUCCUCCCUACUCAUGUCCUGCUUCAGCGAGAAAGGACAGAGUGCUGUUCCCUGAUAAGCCCUACAGUUGCCCACUGCUGUGAACUUCCUGCAUGGACUGCCCUUCCUUGCCUCCAACUGCUGGGGGCUCCUACUCUCUACAGCCCAGGGAGCACACUCUCCUUACUCAUAACUCUCUGAGACCACUUAGCACCCUGGACAGCAGGGGCUUGUGCCAGCUUUGCCCAUCCCCACUCUAAGACUGAGGGAGCGCUGGGACUGUGGGAGGGCUGGGACUGAGGAAGGGUUGGGACUGAGGGAGGGCUGGGACUGAGGGAGGGCUGGGACUGUGGGAGGGCUGGGACUGAGGGGGGUGCCAGGACUGAGAAAGGGCUGGGACUGAGGGGGGUGCUGGGACUGAGAAAGGGCUGGGACUGAGGCAGGGCUGGCCUCUGAGGGAGUGCCGGGACCACACUAGGCUUACCUCCUUCUUCCCAGGGCCAAAGCUGGCACAAUGUGUUUAAUGAAUUUAUAAAGAAAGAGAGGAGAAAAAAAAAGAGAGAAGAGAGAGGGAGGGAGAGAGGUAGCAAGGGAAAGAAAGGGAGAGAGUGAGGUAGGGAGGGAGGGAGGGAGGGGAAGGGAGGAAAGGAAAGGAGGAAGGACAGAUCCUAGAAUCCAGAUAAUAUAAAGGUACCAAGAUGCCAAGUGUCAAUGUCUUCAUCUACAAAAAUGGAAAAACAGAGCUCGCCUCUUCGAGUUGUUACAGACUAAAUGCAAUAGUGAAUGAGAGCUCCUAGCACACAGGAAGCCCACCUGCCAGCCCUCCCUUCUUCUUCCCCUCUUUCACAGAACAGAGCAGAUCACAAAUGACACUGCAAGGUGAUACCUGCUGUGGAGAAAAAUGAGGCAGGGAAAGAGGGGCUGAAGAGUGGGAGAGGAGGGAAUGUUAUGAUUUUAAAUAGGGCUGGCUGUCAGGGGAAGUCCCUGUGAAAAGGUAACAUUUGAGCAAAGAGAUGAGGGCCUCAGCCAAGAGGACCUCCAGGAGGAAGGCAUCCCAGGGGGAGGGCAUGGCCAGGGCAAAGGACUGGAGGUGGGGGUAUUGUUAUAAAAUGCUGCAUGGGGCCAGGUGCGGUGGCUCACACCUACAAUCCCAACACUGUGGGAGGCCGAGGCAGGUGGAUCACCUGAGGUUGAGAGUUUGAUACCAGCCUGGCCAACAUGGUGAAACCCUAUCUCUACCAAAAGUACAAAAAUGAGCCAGGCAUGGUGGCACACGUCUGUCAUCCCAGCUACUCAGGAGGCUGAGGCAGGAGAAUCACUUGAACCUGGGAGGUGGAAGUUGCAGUGAGCCAAGACUGCACCACUGCACUCCAGCCAGGGUGACAGAAUAAGACUCUGUCUAAAAUAAAAUAAAAUAAAAUAAAAUAAAAUAAAAUAAAAUAAAAUAAAAUAAAAUAGUAAAAAAUAAAAUAAAAUGCUGCAUGGCACAGACAGCAUGUUUGACGUUUGGAUCAAGGAGCAAGGAAGGGGGUGGAGCAUCCCUCACCCUCCCUCCCUCUCUCAUUUCCCUAAAUCAUAUUGCCCUCAUCUGCUCUUAAACCUGGAGCUUCCCAAACACACACAUGGAUUAGGCACACAAAGUGUUAGGUUUGCUCCAACCCUGCAGGAUGGAAGAUAAGUCAAAGCUCCAGGGGAGAUGAAAGGGGCAGGAGACCAGGGCUGAGGUCUGCCCAGCUCAACUAGCUCCUGGGUUCCCAAACAGUCCCCACUGUACUCUGCUCUCCUCUAUUUUGUUUUUAAACACUGAUUGGGCACUGACUGUCUACAUGCAAGAUCCUUUGGUGAGUGCAUUAAUAAAUAUGAUCUCCAAAUGUGAACACCAAGGGCUUCAAAUAUUUUG
Molecule: long non-coding RNA, 2992 nt
Filed under: Homo sapiens (human)
Lineage: Eukaryota; Metazoa; Chordata; Mammalia; Primates; Hominidae
Description: HSALNT0276102
Source: RNAcentral